RNAcentral lists this transfer RNA (69 nucleotides) under Lethe marginalis. Its description in RNAcentral is "tRNA-Gln". The record is from RNAcentral. Lineage: Eukaryota; Metazoa; Arthropoda; Insecta; Lepidoptera; Nymphalidae.
UAUAUUUUAGUGUAAGAUGCACUGUAAUUUUUGAAAUUGCUAGAUAUAGUUUAAUUCUAUAAAAUAUAA